Molecule: ribosomal RNA, 407 nt
Filed under: bacterium enrichment culture clone ALO1_GLFRUDD03GV79M
Lineage: Bacteria
Description: bacterial SSU rRNA
Rfam family: Bacterial small subunit ribosomal RNA
Source: RNAcentral
GAGUUUGAUCCUGGCUCAGAUUGAACGCUGGCGGCAUGCCUUACACAUGCAAGUCGAACGGCAGCACGGGAGCUUGCUCCUGGUGGCGAGUGGCGAACGGGUGAGUAAUGCAUCGGAACGUAUCCUGGAGUGGGGGGAUAACGUAGCGAAAGUUACGCUAAUACCGCAUAUUCUGUGAGCAGGAAAGCGGGGGACCUUCGGGCCUCGCGCUCUUGGAGCGGCCGAUGUCGGAUUAGCUAGUUGGUGAGGUAAAGGCUCACCAAGGCGACGAUCCGUAGCAGGUCUGAGAGGAUGAUCUGCCACACUGGAACUGAGACACGGUCCAGACUCCUACGGGAGGCAGCAGUGGGAUUUUGGACAAUGGGGGCAACCCUGAUCCAGCCAUGCCGCGUGAGUGAAGAAGGCCU